RNAcentral lists this ribosomal RNA (503 nucleotides) under uncultured bacterium. Its description in RNAcentral is "partial 16S ribosomal RNA". It matches the Rfam family "Bacterial small subunit ribosomal RNA", at positions 30 to 523 of the family's 1533-position model. The record is from RNAcentral.
AUUGAACGCUGGCGGCAGGCUUAACACAUGCAAGUCGAGCGGGGUGAUGGUGCUUGCACUAUCACUUAGCGGCGGACGGGUGAGUAAUGCUUAGGAAUCUGCCUAUUAGUGGGGGACAACAUCUCGAAAGGGAUGCUAAUACCGCAUACGUCCUACGGGAGAAAGCAGGGGAUCACUUGUGACCUUGCGCUAAUAGAUGAGCCUAAGUCGGAUUAGCUAGUUGGUGGGGUAAAGGCCUACCAAGGCGACGAGCUGUAGCGGGUCUGAGAGGAGGAUCCGCCACACGGGGACUGAGGCACAGCCCAGACUCCUACGGGAGGCAGCAAUGGGGAAUAGUGGACAAUGGGGGGAACCCUGAUCCAGCCAUGCCGCGUGUGUGAAGAAGGCCUUAUGGUUGUAAAGCACUUUAAGCGAGGAGGAGGCUCUUUUGGUUAAUACCCAAGAUGAGUGGACGUUACUCGCAGAAUAAGCACCGGCUAACUCUGUGCCAGCAGCCGCAGUAA